CUCUCCAUGUACGAUCCCCAACCGCAGCUGGGACUAUAGCCAAAAGAAUUCGAGUACCCAUUACCGCGAGCCCUCCUAAUCCCCAACCGCAUCCGCCCUACGCCUCGUCCGAAGGCAGCGCCGCCAGCCCCCUCCAACGCCGCCGCGCCGCCAGCCCACUCCAACGCCACCGCCCGAUGCGUGGGCACCCUCCCCCUACGCGACCGGCGCCCUAAGCCAGGCGCGGCCUUGCAUCCCCAAACGCCGCCGCCCUAGGACGCUGCCCUGCAUCUCCAAUGUCGCGCCGCCCGUUGACCCGACGCGAGGACGCCUCUGCCUGAAUCGAGGACGUCGGCGCCCUGCACCACUGCUCCUCGAAGCCACACUACCUCUGAAGCCUGUCGGUGGUCAUCUUGCUGCGGGCUAAGCACAUGGAGAAGUUUGGGAAGAUUUGGUCAAGAUUCUCAAAAAGUAUGACAAGAGAACUGGGGUCCUUAUCCGUCUCCUCUUCAUUCAAAAUGUUCUGCUCCAACCUUUCUUCAACACUGACCUGCCAGCUUGUGGGGGAGUGCGAGGCUAUGCUCGACCAGCUCCUACCAUAUUGAGCAAACCAUCUGUAUUGAAUAAACAAGGAACAAAAGAUAUCAACACCAAGACAAGCCUCUAAACCCUGUUUCUUCCUUGGAUAGCAAUGGAUGCAUUCCAAAGCUUGAUUAGAUUGAGUUCAUGGAGAGCAUGUACAUGAAUAGCUUGAUGAGAUAGAUUGCAAAUUAUGUGCAAAUGUUAUGUCAUAUUGGGUGAUGUGAACGUAUCAUUGGUACACAUCCAGUUGUGCAAUAUGAAAUAUUUGUGGAAAAUACA
Molecule: long non-coding RNA, 840 nt
Organism: Lolium perenne
Lineage: Eukaryota; Viridiplantae; Streptophyta; Magnoliopsida; Poales; Poaceae
Source: RefSeq, a predicted model, not a curated record